AUACGGAGGGUGCGAGCGUUAAUCGGAAUUACUGGGCGUAAAGCGUACGUAGGCGGUUGGUUAAGUUAGAUGUGAAAGCCCCGGGCUUAACCUGGGAACUGCAUUUAAAACUGGCGAACUAGAGUUGAGUAGAGGGGAGUGAAAUUUCAGGUGUAGCGGUGAAAUGCGUAGAGAUCUGAAGGAACACCAGUGGCGAAGGCGACUCCCUGGACUCGAACUGACGCUGAGGUACGAAAGCGUGGGUAGCAAACGGGAUUAGAUACCCCAGUAGUCC
RNAcentral lists this ribosomal RNA (274 nucleotides) under uncultured bacterium. RNAcentral describes it as "partial 16S ribosomal RNA". It matches the Rfam family "Bacterial small subunit ribosomal RNA", at positions 523 to 796 of the family's 1533-position model. The record is from RNAcentral.